Molecule: ribosomal RNA, 372 nt
Filed under: uncultured organism
Description: partial 16S ribosomal RNA
Rfam family: Bacterial small subunit ribosomal RNA
Source: RNAcentral
GUAGGUGGCAAGCGGUGUCCGGAAUUAUUGGGCGUAAAGCGCGCGCAGGGCGGUCCUUUAAGUCUGAUGUGAAAGCCCGCGGCUCAACCGUGGAGGGUCAUUGGAAACUGGGGGACUUGAGUACAGAAGAGGAAAGCGGAAUUCCAAGUGUAGCGGUGAAAUGCGUAGAGAUUUGGAGGAACACCAGUGGCGAAGGCGGCUUUCUGGUCUGUAACUGACGCUGAGGCGCGAAAGCGUGGGGAGCAAACAGGAUUAGAUACCCUGGUAGUCCACGCCGUAAACGAUGAGUGCUAAGUGUUAGGGGGUUUCCGCCCCUUAGUGCUGCAGCUAACGCAUUAAGCACUCCGCCUGGGGAGUACGGCCGCAAGGCUG